GCUCUGGAAGCUAUUGAAGCAUUAGGCUUUUAACCUGGGGAAGUGGGUGUUAUGCUCACCUAGGGCU
This 67-nucleotide transfer RNA is filed under the name Kuphus polythalamius. RNAcentral's name for it is "tRNA-Lys". Lineage: Eukaryota; Metazoa; Mollusca; Bivalvia; Myida; Teredinidae. The record is from RNAcentral.